CGGAGGAUAAGAAACUAAAUAGGAUUCCCUCAGUAAUGGCGAAUGAACAGGGAUCAGCUCAGCAUGGAAAUUGGGGCCUUGGCCUUGAAUUGUAGUCUCGAGAUGUAUUGCCAACGGAGGCGCAGAUGUAAGCCUCUUGGAAAAGAGCAUCAACGAGGGUGAGAGUCCCGUUUGUCAUCUGCAGACCCCCGUGCACGGCGUACCUUCCAAGAGUCGCGUUCCUCGGAAUUGGAGCGUAAAUUGGGUGGUAAAUUUCAUCUGAAGCUAAAUAUUGGUUCGAGACCGAUAGCAAACAAGUACCAUGAGGGAAAGGUGAAAAGGACUUUGAAAAGAGAGUUAAAAGUGCCUGAAAUUGCUGAAAGGGAAGCGAAUGGAACCAGUGCGCUUGGUGAGAUUGUCACAUGGCUUCCAUGUGGUGGUUCUUGCCUUGUGUGUCAUUGCCAGUUUGCGUUCGAGGAAAACUCCAGAGACAUGGUAGCCUAGCCUCGGCUGGGUGAAUGUGUCUGGUAGAACUCAUUCGCGUACUGUUUUCUGUGUCUGGUUGCAAUGCACUGUGCCAUCUGGGGGUGGCUGGAGAGGGAGUUUACUCCACUUCUUUGGCUAACUUCUGGGUGACCAGGGCACUUCCUUGACACAUAGACGAUGACUAAAUGGUUCUUUUCGACCCGUCUUGAAACACGGACCAAGGAGUCUAACAUAUGUGCGAGUCCACGGGUGUCAAACCUGCUGGCGCAGUGAAAGCGACUGCUGGGAUCUUUGCACCAGCAACCGACCAAUCAAUUGAGAGAGGUUUGAGUAUGUGCAUAUCUGUUAGGACCCGAAAGAUGGUGAACUAUGCCUGAGAAGGGCAAACUCAGGGGAAACUCUGAUGGAGGCUCGUAGCGAUACUGACGUGCAAAUCGUUCGUCAUACUUGGGUAUAGGGGCGAAAGACUAAUCGAACCAUCUAGUAGCU
RNAcentral lists this ribosomal RNA (954 nucleotides) under Prorocentrum triestinum. Its description in RNAcentral is "LSU rRNA". It matches the Rfam family "Eukaryotic large subunit ribosomal RNA", at positions 51 to 952 of the family's 3401-position model. Lineage: Eukaryota; Dinophyceae; Prorocentrales; Prorocentraceae. The record is from RNAcentral.